This 1050-nucleotide long non-coding RNA is filed under the name Rattus norvegicus (Norway rat). RNAcentral describes it as "long non-coding RNA NONRATT029426". The record is from RNAcentral. Lineage: Eukaryota; Metazoa; Chordata; Mammalia; Rodentia; Muridae.
AGAACAGGUAGUAGAAGAGGAGCCGACUGUAAAGAAGAAAAAGAAGAAGGAUAAAAAGAAACACAUAAAGGAAGAGCCACUUUCCGAGGAGGAGCCAUGCACCAGCACAGCAGUUCCUGUAUGUGAUUUUGGUGUCGUUUUAUCUUUUGAGUUUAUUUCAGGGUAUUUAAGAACAGACGUUAAGCACAGAUGUUUAUAAUAGGUGCUGUAUUAUUAGUCAGAAAUGACCAGGUGUGUGAUAGGGAAAAUGUAGUAGAAAAACAAAAGUGCAUAAUGGUAUUUUUGUUAGGGAGGCCACUUCUCAAUUUUAGUUGUUUUGUUUUUUUUUUUUUUGGUUUUUUUUUUUUUAUGUAUUUUAAAUGUAGGAGUGUUCUGUCUGCAUGUACACCUACAUGCCAGAAGAGGGCCCCAGAUCUCUUUAUAGAUGGUUGUGAGCCACCAUGUGGUUGCUGGGAAUUGAACUCAGGACCUCUGGAAGAACAGCUCUUAACUGCUGAUCUAUCUCACAAGCCCUCAAAUUUAGUUUCUUACGGUGAAGAGAGUUUACUGUGCUAAGACAUGAACCUAACUAAAGCCUUAUACGUGCAAGGUAAGUACUGUUACCAUGCUCCCAGCUCAUGGUUUAUUGAAGCUUGCUUUGUUACAUUACAGUUGCUCCCAGCUCAUGGUUUAUUGAAGCUUGCUUUGUUACAUUACAGUUUCAGGUUGUUUUGGUACAAAAUUCAUUUUCUAAGAGUAGAUUUUGCACUUAAUACGGAAAAAGUUAAUAAUUAUCACUAUUUGAAAAAGCAUUCUUGUUGGUUAUUUUUAGAGUCCAGAGAAAAAGAAGAAAAAGAAAAAAAAGAAAGAUGCUGAAGACUAAUGUAAAGGAACCGUAAUCCUGUCACCUGAACACAUCAUGCUUAAGAUUCAGUUGGGAGCAUAUCAGACGCUCUAACAUAAUCAAGGGAGGUUGAUUAGCUUUAGCUUUUCAAACCUUUUUGUGUCUUGACAUCAACUGUUAACCUUAGAGUCUUUGAUACACAAAUAAAAAUAUUUUCUUUGUAUUAU